This 22-nucleotide microRNA is filed under the name Chrysemys picta bellii (western painted turtle). Its description in RNAcentral is "Cpi-Mir-9585_5p (mature (guide))". RNAcentral also lists the same sequence under 1 other name. Lineage: Eukaryota; Metazoa; Chordata; Testudines; Emydidae. The record is from RNAcentral.
CACCGAUCGUUGGCGACUCAGG